This 376-nucleotide unclassified non-coding RNA is filed under the name soil metagenome. RNAcentral's name for it is "partial contains 5.8S ribosomal RNA, internal transcribed spacer 2, and large subunit ribosomal RNA". The stretch from base 1 to 120 matches the Rfam family "5.8S ribosomal RNA", at positions 35 to 154 of the family's 154-position model. The record is from RNAcentral.
GAUGAAGAACGCAGCGAAAUGCGAUAAGUAAUGUGAAUUGCAGAAUUCAGUGAAUCAUCGAAUCUUUGAACGCAUCUUGCGCUCCUUGGUAUUCUGAGGAGCAUGCCUGUUUGAGUGUAAUUAAAUUCUCAACUACACUGACUUUGAAUUGGUGUGGCUUGGAUUUGGGGGGAAAAUUGUUGUGGGCUUUUUGUAUAGUCUGCUCCCCUGAAAUUGAUUAGCGGUACCUUUGUGGAACUGUCUACAGGUGUGAUAAUUAUCUACAUCUUAGACAUCUGCUGGAAUGCUGCUUUCUAAACCUUACUUGUAUUGACAAUCUUGACCUCAAAUCAGGUAGGACUACCCGCUGAACUUAAGCAUAUCAAUAAGCGGAGGA